Long non-coding RNA from Hemiscyllium ocellatum (epaulette shark), 368 nucleotides. RefSeq lists it as uncharacterized. The record is from RefSeq and is a predicted model, not a curated record. The transcript is spliced from 3 exons. Lineage: Eukaryota; Metazoa; Chordata; Chondrichthyes; Orectolobiformes; Hemiscylliidae.
AGGACUGAGCCCACCACUGUAUAUCUGCCAGUCAUUCCAACACUUCUCAUCCUGCCCAUCUGCUUCAUAAUCUUCAUCAACUUCAGCAACAAAGGAGGGUGUUCACAGCAAAUCAAGAGAACGACACCUUUGAAAAGGAAUGAUCCAGGGUCAUCCAGCAUUCCUGAGCCUCAUCAGGCCCAGCAGCCGUUGACCUCAGGUACUGGCUGUACUCGAACUGACCAAUCACCAUCCAUUUCAGACACUGUAACAUCGAGUGUGUGAAGCAUCAACACAGUGGACAGACCUGCAGUGACAGAGUACCACCCUCACUGUACAGCCUGACCACUUUGGACUAACUCUCUUCCCAUUCAGUGUGACCCAGUGAG